Molecule: ribosomal RNA, 465 nt
Filed under: uncultured Verrucomicrobiota bacterium
Lineage: Bacteria; Pseudomonadati; Verrucomicrobiota
Description: bacterial SSU rRNA
Rfam family: Bacterial small subunit ribosomal RNA
Source: RNAcentral
CCUACGGGGGGCUGCAGUCGAGGAUCAUUCGCAAUGGGCGCAAGCCUGACGAUGCGACGCUGCGUGGAGGAUGAAGGCCCUCGGGUCGUAAACUCCUGUCAUGAGGGAAGAGGAGAGUGUCACUAACACUGGCGCGAUUUGACGGUACCUCAAGAGGAAGCCACGGCUAACUCUGUGCCAGCAGCCGCGGUAAUACAGAGGUGGCGAGCGUUGUUCGGAUUUACUGGGCGUAAAGGGCGCGUAGGCCGCCGCGUGUGUCGGGUGUGAAAUCCCAGGGCUCAACCCUGGAAGUGCGCCCGAAACUGCGCGGCUCGAGUGCGGGAGGGGAGAUCGGAAUGCAGGGUGUAGCGGUGAAAUGCGUUGAUAUCCUGCAGAACACCGGUGGCGAAGGCGGAUCUCUGGAACGCAACUGACGCUGAGGCGCGAAAGCCUGGGGAGCAAACAGGAUUAGAUACCCCAGUAGUC